This 700-nucleotide ribosomal RNA is filed under the name Thalassobacillus devorans. Its description in RNAcentral is "bacterial SSU rRNA". It matches the Rfam family "Bacterial small subunit ribosomal RNA", at positions 199 to 884 of the family's 1533-position model. The record is from RNAcentral. Lineage: Bacteria; Bacillati; Bacillota; Bacilli; Caryophanales; Bacillaceae.
GUUGAAAGAUGGCUUCUCGCUAUCACUUACAGAUGGGCCCGCGGCGCAAUAGCUAGUUGGUGAGGUAACGGCUCACCAAGGCGACGAUGCGUAGCCCACCUGAGAGGGUGAUCGGCCACACUGGGACUGAAACACGGGCCAGACUCCUACGGGAGGCAGCAGUAAGGAAUCUUCCGCAAUGGACGAAAGUCUGACGGAGCAACGCCGCGUGAACGAUGAAGGUUUUCGGAUCGUAAAGUUCUGUUGUCAGGGAAGAACAAGUACCGUGCGAAUAGAGCGGUACCUUGACGGUACCUGACGAGGAACCCCCGGCUAACUACGUGCCAGCAGCCGCGGUAAUACGUAGGGGGCAAGCGUUGUCCGGAAUUAUUGGGCGUAAAGCGCGCGCAGGCGGUUCCUUAGGUCUGAUGUGAAAGCCCACGGCUCAACCGUGGAGGGUCAUUGGAAACUGGGGAACUUGAGUACAGAAGAGGAGAGUGGAAUUCCACGUGUAGCGGUGAAAUGCGUAGAUAUGUGGAGGAACACCAGUGGCGAAGGCGACUCUCUGGUCUGUAACUGACCCUGACGCGCGAAAGCGCGCGCAGCAAACAGGAUUAGAUACCCUGCUAGUCCACGCCAUACACGAUGAGUGCUACGUGUUAGGGGGCUUCCACCCCUUAGUGCUGACUUCACGCAUUAAGCACUCCGUCUGCCGAGUACG